AGCAAUACUGUUACCUGAAAUA
RNAcentral lists this microRNA (22 nucleotides) under Homo sapiens (human). RNAcentral describes it as "Hsa-Mir-3942_5p (mature (co-guide))". The record is from RNAcentral. Lineage: Eukaryota; Metazoa; Chordata; Mammalia; Primates; Hominidae.